Molecule: ribosomal RNA, 253 nt
Filed under: Pseudomonadota bacterium
Lineage: Bacteria; Pseudomonadati; Pseudomonadota
Also listed under: 3 other names
Description: partial 16S ribosomal RNA
Rfam family: Bacterial small subunit ribosomal RNA
Source: RNAcentral
UACGGAGGGUGCAAGCGUUGCUCGGAAUUACUGGGCGUAAAGGGCGUGUAGGCGGUUUCGUAUGUCUGGCGUGAAAGCCCCGGGCUCACCUCGGGAAGUGCGUCGGAAACUGCGAGACUAGAGUCCCGGAGAGGGAGGUGGAAUUCCAGGUGUAGCGGUGAAAUGCGUAGAUAUCUGGAAGAACACCGGUGGCGAAAGCGGCCUCCUGGACGGUGACUGACGCUGAGACGCGAAAGCGUGGGGAGCAAACAGG